UACGGGGGGAGCAAGCGUUAUCCGGAUUUACUGGGCGUAAAGGGCGCGUAGGCGGCCAGCACAAGUCAGUUGUGAAAUCUCCGAGCUUAACUCGGAAAGGUCAACUGAUACUGUGCGGCUAGAGUGCGGAAGGGGCAACUGGAAUUCUUGGUGUAGCGGUGAAAUGCGUAGAUAUCAAGAGGAACACCUGCGGCGAAGGCGGGUUGCUGGGCCGACACUGACGCUGAGGCGCGAAAGCCAGGGGAGCGAACGGG
Molecule: ribosomal RNA, 254 nt
Filed under: uncultured bacterium
Lineage: Bacteria
Description: partial 16S ribosomal RNA
Rfam family: Bacterial small subunit ribosomal RNA
Source: RNAcentral